AUUGAACGCUGGCGGCAGGCCUAACACAUGCAAGUCGAGCGGUAGCACAGAGAGCUUGCUCUCGGGUGACGAGCGGCGGACGGGUGAGUAAUGUCUGGGAAACUGCCUGAUGGAGGGGGAUAACUACUGGAAACGGUAGCUAAUACCGCAUAACGUCGCAAGACCAAAGAGGGGGACCUUCGGGCCUCUUGCCAUCAGAUGUGCCCAGAUGGGAUUAGCUAGUAGGUGGGGUAACGGCUCACCUAGGCGACGAUCCCUAGCUGGUCUGAGAGGAUGACCAGCCAAACUGAAACUGAGACACGGUCCAGACUCCGACGGGAGGCAGCAGUGGGGAAUAUUGCACAAUGGGCGCAAGCCUGAUGCAGCCAUGCCGCGUGUAUGAAGAAGGCCUUCGGGUUGUAAAGUACUUUCAGCGGGGAGGAAGGUGUUGAGGUUAAUAACCUCAGCAAUUGACGUUACCCGCAGAAGAAGCACCGGCUAACUCCGUGCCAGCAGCCGCCGUAA
This 504-nucleotide ribosomal RNA is filed under the name uncultured bacterium. RNAcentral describes it as "partial 16S ribosomal RNA". It matches the Rfam family "Bacterial small subunit ribosomal RNA", at positions 30 to 523 of the family's 1533-position model. The record is from RNAcentral.